Molecule: ribosomal RNA, 605 nt
Filed under: Eulimnogammarus verrucosus
Lineage: Eukaryota; Metazoa; Arthropoda; Malacostraca; Amphipoda; Eulimnogammaridae
Description: SSU rRNA
Rfam family: Eukaryotic small subunit ribosomal RNA
Source: RNAcentral
UAUGCUUGUCUCAAAGAUUAAGCCAUGCAUGUCUAAGUCCAAGCUGUGUUCACACGGCGAGACCGCGGACGGCUCAUUAAAUCAGUCGGGGUCCAAAUGGGCCAGUGCAAAUCCUACUUGGAUAACUGUGGUAAUUCCAGAGCUAAUACAUGCAACUGAUAUCCCGAAGGCGGUGUUGGGGCUUGCUUGCCUUGCGCUGCGCUGCUCUGACGGAUGCUUUUAUUAGACCAAGCCGCUGAGGACUUGAGGGUUCGCGCUCUCUUGUUUGACUCGUGUGAUGGUGACUCUGGAUAACCAAAUUCUGACAAGCGCACGUACUUCUCUUCUGAGCGAGACGGCGCUGCCACUUUCGAGUGUCUGCCUUAUCAGCUAUCAACCGUUCGUUAUGCGCGACCGAUGGCUUUGACGGGUAACGGGGAAUCAGGGUUCGAUUCCGGAGAGGCAGCCUGAGAGACGGCUACCACGUCCAAGGACGGCAGCAGGCACGCAAAUUACCCAAUCCCAGCAAAUGGGGGAGGUAGUGACGAAAUCUAACGAUGCGGGCGCCCUUUCUGGGGCCCCGCAAUCGGAAUGGGCACUUUCUAAACAACCUGUUGAGAACCUAC